This 441-nucleotide ribosomal RNA is filed under the name uncultured bacterium. Its description in RNAcentral is "partial 16S ribosomal RNA". It matches the Rfam family "Bacterial small subunit ribosomal RNA", at positions 338 to 795 of the family's 1533-position model. The record is from RNAcentral.
CCUACGGGAGGCAGCAGUGGGGAAUAUUGCACAAUGGGCGAAAGCCUGAUGCAGCAACGCCGCGUGAAGGAAGAAGGCCUUCGGGUCGUAAACUUCUGUCCUUGGGGAAGAAGAACUGACGGUACCCAAGGAGGAAGCCCCGGCUAACUACGUGCCAGCAGCCGCGGUAAUACGUAGGGGGCAAGCGUUAUCCGGAAUUAUUGGGCGUAAAGAGUACGUAGGUGGCAACCUAAGCGCAGGGUUUAAGGCAAUGGAUCAACCAUUGUUCGCCCUGCGAACUGGCGCGCUGGAGUGCCGGAGGGGUAGGCGGAAUUCCUAGUGUAGCGGUGAAAUGCGUAGAUAUUAGGAGGAACACCAGUGGCGAAGGCGGCCUACUGGACGGUGACUGACGCUGAGGCUCGAAAGCGUGGGGAGCAAACAGGAUUAGAUACCCCUGUAGUC